AAUUCUCUAGGUUGCAAAUUGGGAGGAUUAGGAACAAGUAAGAGAGAUCCAUGCAGGAUGGACAAGAAAAAAAAGUUUUAUACCAAAAAUUGUAUUUCAUGGCAUUAGGGCAGUCUACUGGGGUAAGGCACUAUGCAGUACUAGGCAAUUAGAAUUCUAUUCACUAGCUAUGUGCACAAGCGGCUCCUGACCUGGUCAUUUUGGCUGUAAAACUAUUCAUGCCUGGACAGUUUUUGACGGUGCAGUCUUGCUAUAUGGUGUGAGAAAUGGCUGUAGGAAACAACACUCAACGAAGUUAUUCCAUCAUCCCGUGUUUUAUAUUUGUUGAGGAGGAAGCAACCCUCAAAGUGAGAUGUUUAAUUUAUUGCUGGAAGCUGUAGUCUCCGAAGAUUUUCAGCUCUCUAAUGUGUGAAUGAAGAGCUUGGCCGGUGGAGCAGCAACAAAGGAGAUAAAUUAGUUCUUCUGUAGCUUACCCUGACACAAACAUAAAUAGAAGUCUAAAAAUCUGGGAGAGGAAAGAUGGUUUAUUCUUUUUCUUGUUGUAUUGUUGUUCUUAUUUUGCAUGGAAAUUCUCUUAGAACUGUCUUAGAAAUAGGCAGGCAAAAGGGAAGGGAAGUAGGACACAGAAGACAUUGAGUGGGAAGGAGGUGAAUCUCAAAGUGGCUCUCAUGAUUCUCAUGUAUUUCAUUCACCAAACACUUAUUGUUUACCUAUAUUAUUCCAGGUACUAUAACAAGGAUAUCACAAAACUUGGUAAAAAAUGUCAACUUGACCAAUGAAUAUCUUUUCACUGUUUUUUUAAUUAUGAAAGAAUUUAAUCACAGAAAAUAACUGACAUCCCUGCACCUACCAUCAAGACAAAAUCUUAAAGUUUUGUCAUAUUUGCUUCAAAUAUUUUUGUCAAGGAAAAUAAAAUGUUACAGAUAUGGCCAAAAUCCUAUUGUCCUGAAGCCAGAAGUCAUUAUAUGUAUGAAGUUUGGGGCUUCUUUUCCCUACAUGUUUCCCAUGCAUGGUUUAUAUUUUCCUACAUAUGUAUAUAUUCAUAAAUAUUUUAGGAAAAUUUUACAUAAAUGACACUAUGCUGAA
This 1086-nucleotide unclassified non-coding RNA is filed under the name Homo sapiens (human). RNAcentral describes it as "phospholipid phosphatase related 1 (ENSG00000276539.4)". Lineage: Eukaryota; Metazoa; Chordata; Mammalia; Primates; Hominidae. The record is from RNAcentral.